UACAUGUCUGUUCAAAUACCAAGGAGUUGAUAUAGCCCCCUGGCUUCGCUUUCAGACUAGAGCAACCUCUUUAAACUUAUCCUAGUGUAAUUGUUUAUCAGUAAAAAUUGCACUGGCAUUUUAAAGAUACAUUA
Molecule: small nucleolar RNA, 134 nt
Organism: Danaus plexippus plexippus
Lineage: Eukaryota; Metazoa; Arthropoda; Insecta; Lepidoptera; Nymphalidae
Rfam family: Small nucleolar RNA psi28S-1192
About the family: psi28S-1192 is a member of the H/ACA class of snoRNA. This family is responsible for guiding the modification of uridine 1192 to pseudouridine in Drosophila 28S rRNA.
Source: Rfam